UCCGGUUGGCCCGGGCGGUCUCGUGUGAAAAAUACAACACACGACAAGGGUUGCGCUCGUUGCGGGACUUAACCCAACAUCUCACGACACGAGCUGACGACGGCCAUGCAGCACCUGUCACCGAUCCAGCCGAACUGACCCCAGUCUUUCGAUAGGGUACGAUCGGGAUGUCAAGCCUCGGUAAGGUUCUUCGCGUAUCAUCGAAUUAAACCGCAUCCUCCACUGCUUGUGCGGAUCCCCGUCAAUUCCUUUGAGUUUUAGCCUUGCGGCCGUACUCCCCAGGCGGAGUGCUUAUUGCGUUAGCGUCGCCACGGCAGGGGUCAAAACCCGCCACAGCUAGCACUCAUCGUUUACAGCGUGGACUAC
Molecule: unclassified non-coding RNA, 366 nt
Filed under: uncultured bacterium
Lineage: Bacteria
Description: contains 16S-23S intergenic spacer region
Source: RNAcentral